Molecule: ribosomal RNA, 550 nt
Filed under: Orthetrum albistylum
Lineage: Eukaryota; Metazoa; Arthropoda; Insecta; Odonata; Libellulidae
Description: SSU rRNA
Rfam family: Eukaryotic small subunit ribosomal RNA
Source: RNAcentral
ACAAAUUAGAGUGCUCAAAGCAGGCCGUUGGUCGCCUGAAUACUGUGUGCAUGGAAUAAUAGAAUAGGACCUCGGUUCCAUUUUGUUGGUUUUCAGAACUCGAGGUAAUGAUUAAUAGGGACGGACGGGGGCAUUCGUAUUGCGACGUUAGAGGUGAAAUUCUUGGAUCGUCGCAAGACGAACCGAUGCGAAAGCAUUUGCCAAGAACGUUUUCGUUGAUCAAGAACGAAAGUUAGAGGUUCGAAGGCGAUCAGAUACCGCCCUAGUUCUAACCAUAAACGAUGCCAGCUAGCCAUCCGCCGAGGUUCCUUAUAUGACUCGGCGGGCAGCUUCCGGGAAACCAAAGCUCUUGGGUUCCGGGGGAAGUAUGGUUGCAAAGCUCAAACUUAAAGGAAUUGACGGAAGGGCACCACCAGGAGUGGAGCCUGCGGCUUAAUUUGACUCAACACGGGAAACCUCACCAGGCCCAGACACCGGUAGGAUUGACAGAAUAAGAGCUCUUUCUUGAUUCGGUGGGUGGUGGUGCAUGGCCGUUCUUAGUUGGUGGAGC